RNAcentral lists this ribosomal RNA (250 nucleotides) under uncultured Actinomycetales bacterium. RNAcentral's name for it is "partial 16S ribosomal RNA". It matches the Rfam family "Bacterial small subunit ribosomal RNA", at positions 83 to 334 of the family's 1533-position model. The record is from RNAcentral. Lineage: Bacteria; Bacillati; Actinomycetota; Actinomycetes; Actinomycetales.
CGGGGUGCUCGAGUGGCGAACGGGUGAGUAACACGUGAGUAACCUGCCCUUGACUUUGGGAUAACUUCAGGAAACUGGGGCUAAUACCGGAUAGGAGCUCCUGCUGCAUGGUGGGGGUUGGAAAGUUUCGGCGGUUGGGGAUGGACUCGCGGCUUAUCAGCUUGUUGGUGGGGUAGUGGCUUACCAAGGCUUUGACGGGUAGCCGGCCUGAGAGGGUGACCGGCCACAUUGGGACUGAGAUACGGCCCAG